This 25-nucleotide non-coding RNA is filed under the name Mus musculus (house mouse). The record is from RNAcentral. Lineage: Eukaryota; Metazoa; Chordata; Mammalia; Rodentia; Muridae.
UCCUAGGAUCUACAGGCCCGUCUGC